CCGCUCCCUGAGACCUUAAUCUGUGGUACAAUCAACACACAGGUUGGCGUCUCGGGGCCUGGGA
Cordylochernes scorpioides is the source of this 64-nucleotide non-coding RNA. The record is from the annotation of a GenBank genome assembly. NCBI's taxonomy places the organism in Eukaryota, Metazoa, Arthropoda, Arachnida, Pseudoscorpiones, Chernetidae.